CCUACGGGAGGCAGCAGUGAGGGAUAUUGGUCAAUGGGGGAAACCCUGAACCAGCAACGUCGCGUGAGGGAAGACGGCUCUCCGAUUUUAAACCUCUGUCUUCUGUGAAGUUAAUGACGUUAGCAGUGGAGGAUGCUCUGGCUAACUACGUGCCAGCAGCCGCGGUAAGACGGAGGGAGCAAGCGUUGUCCGGAUUUACUGGGUGUAAAGGGUGCGUAGGCGGCCCUGCAAGUCAGAAGUGAAAUCCAUGGGCUUAACCCGUGAACUGCUUUGGAAACUGUAGGGCUUGAGUGAAGUAGAGGCAGGCGGAAUUCGCGGUGUAGCGGUGAAAUGCGUAGAGAUCGGGAGGAACACCGGUGGCGAAGGCAGCCUGCUGGGCUUUAACUGACGCUGAAGCACGAAAGCGUGGGUAGCGAACAGGAUUAGAUACCCUAGUAGUC
RNAcentral lists this ribosomal RNA (440 nucleotides) under uncultured bacterium. Its description in RNAcentral is "partial 16S ribosomal RNA". It matches the Rfam family "Bacterial small subunit ribosomal RNA", at positions 338 to 795 of the family's 1533-position model. The record is from RNAcentral.